UGUGAUUUCUGGCCCGUCAAAAUAAAUGGCAUUUGCGUUAGCUCCGUUAGUGAGGAGGAGACGGGCACAGUCAUAGUGACCAUUCUGAAAGAAAAUAACCGUCUUAG
Non-coding RNA from Caenorhabditis elegans, 107 nucleotides. NCBI's taxonomy places the organism in Eukaryota, Metazoa, Nematoda, Chromadorea, Rhabditida, Rhabditidae. The record is from Ensembl.